GACGAACGCUGGCGGCGUGCUUAACACAUGCAAGUCGAACGGAAAGGCCCUGCUUUUGUGGGGUGCUCGAGUGGCGAACGGGUGAGUAACACGUGAGUAACCUGCCCUUGACUUUGGGAUAACUUCAGGAAACUGGGGCUAAUACCGGAUAGGAGCUCCUGCUGCAUGGUGGGGGUUGGAAAGUUUCGGCGGUUGGGGAUGGACUCGCGGCUUAUCAGCUUGUUGGUGGGGUAGUGGCUUACCAAGGCUUUGACGGGUAGCCGGCCUGAGAGGGUGACCGGCCACAUUGGGACUGAGAUACGGCCCAGACUCCUACGGGAGGCAGCAGUGGGGAGUAUUGCGGAAUAGGCGGAAGCCUGAUGCAGCAGCGCCGCGUGCGGGAUGACGGCCUUCGGGUUGUAAACCGCUUUCGCCUGUGACGAAGCGUGAGUGACGGUAAUGGGUAAAGAAGCACCGGCUAACUACGUG
RNAcentral lists this ribosomal RNA (468 nucleotides) under uncultured bacterium. Its description in RNAcentral is "partial 16S ribosomal RNA". It matches the Rfam family "Bacterial small subunit ribosomal RNA", at positions 28 to 507 of the family's 1533-position model. The record is from RNAcentral.